GAUGAACGCUAGCGGCAGGCCUAACACAUGCAAGUCGAGGGGGAAGUUACUUUCGGGUGACUGAGACCGGCGUACGGGUGCGUAACGCGUAUACAAUCUGCCUUUCACUGGGGGAUAGCCCGAAGAAAUUUGGAUUAAUACCCCAUAGUAUAUAGGGACGGCAUCGUUUUUAUAUUAAAGCUUAGGUGGUGAAAGAUGAGUAUGCGUUCUAUUAGCUAGUUGGAGAGGUAACGGCUCCCCAAGGCGAUGAUAGAUAGGGGUUCUGAGAGGGAUGUCCCCCACACUGGUACUGAGAUACGGACCAGACUCCUACGGGAGGCAGCAGUGAGGAAUAUUGGACAAUGGUCGGAAGACUGAUCCAGCCAUGCCGCGUGCAGGAUGAAGGUCUUAUGGAUUGUAAACUGCUUUUGUAAGGGAAGAAUAAGGGCUACGCGUAGUUUGAUGACGGUACCUUACGAAUAAGCAUCGGCUAACUCCGUG
RNAcentral lists this ribosomal RNA (480 nucleotides) under uncultured bacterium. RNAcentral's name for it is "partial 16S ribosomal RNA". It matches the Rfam family "Bacterial small subunit ribosomal RNA", at positions 28 to 507 of the family's 1533-position model. The record is from RNAcentral.